ACGUCUCAGUUCGGAUUGUAGUCUGCAACUCGACUACAUGAAGCUGGAAUCGCUAGUAAUCGCGGAUCAGCAUGCCGCGGUGAAUACGUUCCCGGGCCUUGUACACACCGCCCGUCACACCAUGGGAGUUUGUAACGCCCAAAGUCGGUGGCCUAACCUUUAUGGAGGGAGCCGCCUAAGGCGGGACAGAUGACUGGGGUGAAGUCGUAACAAGGUAAC
This 219-nucleotide ribosomal RNA is filed under the name uncultured bacterium. Its description in RNAcentral is "partial 16S ribosomal RNA". It matches the Rfam family "Bacterial small subunit ribosomal RNA", at positions 1283 to 1500 of the family's 1533-position model. The record is from RNAcentral.